GAAUAUGGGGGGACCAUCCUCCAAGGCUAAAUACUCCUGACUGACCGAUAGUGAACCAGUACCGUGAGGGAAAGGCGAAAAGAACCCCGGCGAGGGGAGUGAAAAAGAACCUGAAACCGUGUACGUACAAGCAGUGGGAGCCCCACCACCAAAGCAUUCUCUGGUGUUGAAGGCCCUGCAAAGCAGCAUCGCGGUGGCGGAGCGUCGUUUGCGACGCCCAACACACAAAACAAGCGGUGAAUGCUUUGGGGUGGGGUGACUGCGUACCUUUUGUAUAAUGGGUCAGCGACUUAUAUUCUGUAGCAAGGUUAACCGAAUAGGGGAGCCGGAGGGAAACCGAGUCUUAAUUGGGCGUUAAGUUGCAGGGUAUAGACCCGAAACCCGGUGAUCUAGCCAUGGGCAGGUUGAAGGUUGGGUAACACUAACUGGAGGACCGAACCGACUAAUGUUGAAAAAUUAGCGGAU
RNAcentral lists this ribosomal RNA (465 nucleotides) under Salmonella enterica. Its description in RNAcentral is "partial 23S ribosomal RNA". It matches the Rfam family "Bacterial large subunit ribosomal RNA", at positions 440 to 805 of the family's 2925-position model. Lineage: Bacteria; Pseudomonadati; Pseudomonadota; Gammaproteobacteria; Enterobacterales; Enterobacteriaceae. The record is from RNAcentral.